GGCCCCCGCGCGGCCUUCCAGAGCUUUCUCCGCCGCCCGGGAAUGCACUCGCCACCCAGCCGCCCAGACGUGUGUCCGGCGCUGCGCUUUCUCGCUCUGGCCCUCCUAGACGGUGCCCAUUUUGACGUGCUUGUAACCUAGUCAGAAAAGACGCCAUUCACCAGCCCACAUACUUUCCUCAGUGAGACAAAGAAAUAUUUAUGAUAUACUGAAACAGCUGAAGAAGUAUUCAGUUCAAAGUUCAGAGGGAAGAAACAGAGAAACAGGAGACAAGAGAGAGGCUGACGUGGUUAUUUCCACCCCAAGUGCUUGGCCCCACUCUCCAGCUCUGGGCUCCGUAACCCAUGGCAACAAGAGAAGGGAAGCAGAGUGAAGAAUGGAAACGAGAUUCAAGACAUCUUUCAAAGAUGAAGCUGACAUUGAUUUGAAGCAGAAGUUUUGGUGGGAUGCCCUCACCUAUAUGGACAACUGGCUUAUUUCAGAGAAUAUGCAAAGAGCUAGAGAAUGAGCCAGAGCCUGGAGGAGAAGAUAAUAGUGUCUUUUCAUCUUUGGAGAAAAUGGUGACCGUGGCAACCGUAAAUGGAAAGCUUCAUAAACAACACUAAUAGACAGAUGACAGACUGGGAGAAGAAUUUGCCAUGCUUACAACUGCCUCUAAAAAAAGUGACAUUGGAUUAUUACAUAAAAUAUAAAAAGAAGUCUUGCAAACUAGCCAGAAAAAGGCCGGAAACCUCAAAGAAACAUGCACAAAGGGUAUGAAGAAGUUAUUCGCAAGAGAGGAAGCUCAGAUGGUGAACUGGUAUCAGAAGGGUCACUCAAGGUCACUGGUAAUCGGAACAACACAGACCCCUUCAGACACAUUAGAAUGUCACAACUGGAAAGCUGGAUAAUACCAGGUGUUUACAAGGACAUGGGGGUGAUGGGGAAUCUUUGACUGUUGGAAGAACAGUAAAGAGUAUGAUCAUUUUGGAAAACAACCUGACAAUCUUAGUGAAAUUAGAGUGAAGAUGACAAGUUAGCCAGGAAGACAGGGAAAAAUCUGAGGUUUAGACAUAAUUUACUAAUAGUGCCCCCUUCACUUCCCAAAAUGUUCCAUUUAGGGAAGAUAAAUUAUAUAGUCAUCCUAUUUCCGCAAGUCCAUCU
Molecule: long non-coding RNA, 1143 nt
Organism: Mustela lutreola (European mink)
Lineage: Eukaryota; Metazoa; Chordata; Mammalia; Carnivora; Mustelidae
Exons: 5
Source: RefSeq, a predicted model, not a curated record